Molecule: ribosomal RNA, 388 nt
Filed under: uncultured bacterium
Lineage: Bacteria
Description: bacterial SSU rRNA
Rfam family: Bacterial small subunit ribosomal RNA
Source: RNAcentral
AUUGAACGCUGGCGGCAUGCUUUACACAUGCAAGUCGGGCGGCAGCGCGGGGGCAACCCCUGGCGGCGAGCGGCGAACGGGUGAGUAACACAUCGGAACGUGCCCAAUCGUGGGGGAUAACGUAGCGAAAGCUACGCUAAUACCGCAUACGAUCUACGGAUGAAAGCGGGGGAUCGCAAGACCUCGCGCGAAUGGAGCGGCCGAUGGCAGAUUAGGUAGUUGGUGGGGUAAAGGCUCACCAAGCCGACGAUCUGUAGCUGGUCUGAGAGGACGACCAGCCACACUGGGACUGAGACACGGCCCAGACUCCUACGGGAGGCAGCAGUGGGGAAUUUUGGACAAUGGGCGCAAGCCUGAUCCAGCCAUUCCGCGUGCAGGAUGAAGGCCU